UCCGAGUUGACCCCGGCAGUCUCCUAUGAGUCCCCGCCAUUACGCGCUGGCAACAUAGAACGAGGGUUGCGCUCGUUGCGGGACUUAACCCAACAUCUCACGACACGAGCUGACGACAACCAUGCACCACCUGUAAACCGACCGCAAGCGGGGCACCUGUCUCCAGGUGUUUCCGGUUCAUGUCAAGCCUUGGUAAGGUUCUUCGCGUUGCAUCGAAUUAAUCCGCAUGCUCCGCCGCUUGUGCGGGCCCCCGUCAAUUCCUUUGAGUUUUAGCCUUGCGGCCGUACUCCCCAGGCGGGGCACUUAAUGCGUUAGCUACGGCGCGGAAAACGUGGAAUGGAUCCCACACCUAGCGCCCAACGUUUACGGUGUGGACUAC
Molecule: unclassified non-coding RNA, 379 nt
Filed under: uncultured Micrococcaceae bacterium
Lineage: Bacteria; Bacillati; Actinomycetota; Actinomycetes; Micrococcales; Micrococcaceae
Description: contains 16S-23S intergenic spacer region
Source: RNAcentral